Molecule: transfer RNA, 71 nt
Filed under: Vibrio cholerae
Lineage: Bacteria; Pseudomonadati; Pseudomonadota; Gammaproteobacteria; Vibrionales; Vibrionaceae
Also listed under: 1 other name
Description: tRNA-Arg
Rfam family: tRNA
About the family: Transfer RNA (tRNA) molecules are approximately 80 nucleotides in length. Their secondary structure includes four short double-helical elements and three loops (D, anti-codon, and T loops).
Source: RNAcentral
CGCUCGUAGCUCAGCUGGAUAGAGUACCUGGCUACGAACCAGGCGGUCAGAGGUUCGAAUCCUCUCGAGCG